Molecule: ribosomal RNA, 372 nt
Filed under: uncultured bacterium
Lineage: Bacteria
Description: bacterial SSU rRNA
Rfam family: Bacterial small subunit ribosomal RNA
Source: RNAcentral
ACUCCUACGGAGGCGAGCAGUGGGAAUAUUGCACAAUGGCGCAAGCCUGAUGCAGCCAUGCCGCGUGUGUGAAGAAGGCCUUCGGGUUGUAAAGCACUUUCAGUCGUGAGGAAGGUAGUGUAGUUAAUAGCUGCAUUAUUUGACGUUAGCGACAGAAGAAGCACCGGCUAACUCCGUGCCAGCAGCCGCGGUAAUACGGAGGGUGCGAGCGUUAAUCGGAAUUACUGGGCGUAAAGCGCAUGCAGGUGGUUUGUUAAGUCAGAUGUGAAAGCCCGGGGCUCAACCUCGGAAUUGCAUUUGAAACUGGCAGACUAGAGUACUGUAGAGGGGGUGAGAAUUGUCAGGUGUAGCGGUGAAAUGCGUAGAGAUCUG